CAUUAUUGAAUAAACUUGAACAGGCUGUUGCUGGUCUCUAGGGGCAUGUGCACGCUUGUCAUCUUUAUUUUUCCAACUGUGCACAUAUUGUAGACCUGGAGUCAUUGAUUCAUUUCGAGUUGGCACUGCAGUGCUUUUAACAGAAAGAAAGUCUGCUUUGCCUUUUGCUUUUCCAGGUCUAUGUCAUUUUUUCACAACCUCAAAUGUGUUUAGAAUGUUGAAUCAGGUCAUUUUUGUACCUAAUAAAUAUACAACUUUCAGCAACGGAUCUCUUGGCUCUCGCAUCGAUGAAGAACGCAGCGAAAUGCGAUAAGUAAUGUGAAUUGCAGAAUUCAGUGAAUCAUCGAAUCUUUGAACGCAUCUUGCGCUCCUUGGUAUUCCGAGGAGCAUGCCUGUUUGAGUGUCAUUUCAAGUUCUCAAACCACAUCAAUUUCUCGUUGGUGUGGAUUGGAUGUGGGGGAUUAUUCAUUUUGCAGGCUUCUGUCAAAAGAAGGUCGGCUCCCCUGAAAUAUAUUAGUAGUAUCUGAGCUACUUACAGGUGUGAUAAUUAUCUAUGCCUUUCAGUAUGCUGCAUAAACAGAUGGCACUGCUUCCAACGAGUGAAAAACCCUUAGGGGUCCACGUUUGACGAAUUUGACCUCAAAUCAGGUAGGACUACCCGCUGAACUUAA
RNAcentral lists this ribosomal RNA (671 nucleotides) under uncultured Inocybe. Its description in RNAcentral is "eukaryotic LSU rRNA". The stretch from base 253 to 406 matches the Rfam family "5.8S ribosomal RNA". Lineage: Eukaryota; Fungi; Basidiomycota; Agaricomycetes; Agaricales; Cortinariaceae. The record is from RNAcentral.